UGGGGAAUAUUGCACAAUGGAGGGAACUCUGAUGUAGCGACGCCGCGUGAACGAAGAAGGCUUUCGAGUCGUAAAGUUCUUUUAUAUGGGAAGAUAAUAACGGUACCAUAAGAAAAUGUCCCGGCUAACUACGUGCCAGCAGCCGCGGUAAUACGUAGCGGGCUAGCGUUGUCCGGAAUCACUCGGCGUAAAUGGUUCGCAGGCGGAAAUGAAAGUCAGGUGUAAAAGGCAGUAGCUUAACUACUGUAAGCAUUUGAAACUGCAUAUCUUGAGAAGAGUAGAGGUAAGUGGAAUUUUUAGUGUAGCGGUGAAAUGCGUAGAUAUUAAAAAGAAUACCGGUGGCGAAGGCGACUUACUGUGCUCAUUCUGACGCUGAGGAACGAAAGAGUGGGUAGCAAACAGG
This 403-nucleotide ribosomal RNA is filed under the name bacterium. Its description in RNAcentral is "partial 16S ribosomal RNA". It matches the Rfam family "Bacterial small subunit ribosomal RNA", at positions 355 to 776 of the family's 1533-position model. The record is from RNAcentral.